CCCUUAGUUGUCCUGGGCCGCACGCGCGCUACACUGACAUGUUCAACAAGUUUCUCCUAGUUCGACAGGACUGGGAAAUCUUUGAACGCAUGUCGUGAUAGGGAUAGAUCAUUGCAAUUAUUGAUCUUGAACGAGGAAUUCCUAGUAAACGCGAGUCAUCAGCUCGCAUUGAUUACGUCCCUGCCCUUUGUACACACCGCCCGUCGCACCUACCGAUUGAAUGUUUCGGUGAAGAUUCCGGAUAGGACUGAUUUGAUUUAUUUCAUUUCUGACCUAAAAGCUAUCUAAACCUCAACAUUUAGAGGAAGGUGAAGUCGUAACA
RNAcentral lists this ribosomal RNA (322 nucleotides) under uncultured eukaryote. RNAcentral describes it as "partial 18S ribosomal RNA". It matches the Rfam family "Eukaryotic small subunit ribosomal RNA", at positions 1470 to 1796 of the family's 1831-position model. The record is from RNAcentral.